RNAcentral lists this ribosomal RNA (1656 nucleotides) under metagenome. RNAcentral's name for it is "bacterial LSU rRNA". It matches the Rfam family "Bacterial large subunit ribosomal RNA", at positions 1304 to 2925 of the family's 2925-position model. The record is from RNAcentral.
CUGUAACGAUAAACAAGGUGAAAAACCUUGUCGCCGUAAACCCAAGGUUUCCUGAGCAAUGGUAAUCAUCUCAGGGUUAGUCGGCCCCUAAGGCGAGGCUGAAAAGCGUAGUCGAUGGGAAACAGGUCAUAUAUUCCUGUACUGCCGGUAUGGCGUUUGAGCUAUGGGGUGACGCAGAGGUGGAAGCGGGGCGGACUGUUGGUGUCCGUUCAAGCCGGUAGGUCGUUUGGAGUCUCAUAGGCAAAUCCGUGAGGCGAGACUGAAAGGUGAUGAAGAGGCCGUCGUCAGACGGAGGAAUCCCGUGGAAACGUACUGCCAAGAAAAACCUCUAUGUGAGUCAUGCAGGUAACCGUACCGUAAACCGACACAGGUGGGUGGGAAGAGUAUUCCAAGGCGCUCGAGAUAACCCACGUUAAGGAACUCGGCAAAAUGUGCCUGUAACUUCGGGAGAAGGGCAACCUGACGUGUUGCAUGCGUAACAGUGUGUGGCGUGUCAGGUCUCAGUAAAACGGCUCAAGCGACUGUUUAACAAAAACACAGGUCUCUGCGAAGUCGCAAGACGAUGUAUAGGGACUGACACCUGCCCGGUGCUGGAAGGUCAAGGGGAGGGGUUAGCACUUGAUGCGAAGCUCCGAAUUGAAGCCCCAGUAAACGGCGGCCGUAACGAUAACGGUCCUAAGGUAGCGAAAUUCCUUGUCGGGUAAGUUCCGACCUGCACGAAUGGUGUAACGAUUUGAGCGCUGUCUCAACGUGGGACUCGGUGAAAUUUAAUUCGCGGUGAAGAUGCCGUGUACCCGUAUCAAGACGGAAAGACCCCGUGAACCUUUACUGUAGCUUGGCAUGGGGUUUUGAUACGACAUGUGUAGGAUAGGUGGGAGGCAUUGAAGCCGGGACGCCAGUCUCGGUGGAGCCAACCUUGAAAUACCACCCUUGCCGUAUCGAAAUUCUAACCCUGUCCGUGAAACCGGGCCGGGGACAAUGCCAGGUGGGCAGUUUGACUGGGGCGGUCGCCUCCUAAAAUGUAACGGAGGUGCGCAAAGGUCCUCUCAGCACGGUCGGAAAUCGUGCGUAAGAGUGUAAAGGCAGAAGAGGGCUUGACUGCGAGACAUACAGGUCGAGCAGAUGCGAAAGCAGGUCUUAGUGAUCCGGCGGUAGCUUGUGGAAGUGCCGUCGCUCAACGGAUAAAAGGUACUCCGGGGAUAACAGGCUUAUCUCCCCCAAGAGUUCACAUCGACGGGGAGGUUUGGCACCUCGAUGUCGGCUCAUCGCAUCCUGGGGCUGGAGCAGGUCCCAAGGGUUUGGCUGUUCGCCAAUUAAAGCGGUACGCGAGCUGGGUUCAGAACGUCGUGAGACAGUUCGGUCCCUAUCUGCUACGGGCGUUGGAUAUUUGAGAGGAGCUGCUUCUAGUACGAGAGGACCGAAGUGGACGUACCGCUGGUCUACCGGUUGUCACGCCAGUGGCAUUGCCGGGUAGCCAUGUACGGAAGGGAUAACCGCUGAAAGCAUCUAAGUGGGAAGCCCACCUCAAGACAAGAUAUCCCCGCAUGCUCGACAUGCCUGAAGGCUCCUGGGAGACGACCAGGUCGAUAGGCUGCAGGUGUACGCACAGUAAUGUGUUCAGCCGAGCAGUACUAAUCAGCCGUGAGGCUUGACCAU